AUACGGAGGGUGCGAGCGUUAAUCGGAAUUACUGGGCGUAAAGCGCGCGUAGGCGGUUUGGUCAGUCGGAUGUGAAAGCCCCAGGCUCAACCUGGGAAUGGCAUUCGAUACUGGCAAACUAGAGUAUAGAAGAGGCAAGUGGAAUUCCGGGUGUAGCGGUGAAAUGCGUAGAUAUCCGGAGGAACAUCAGUGGCGAAGGCGACUUGCUGGUCUAAUACUGACGCUGAGGAGCGAAAGCGUGGGGAGCGAACGGGAUUAGAAACCCCGGUAGUCC
This 274-nucleotide ribosomal RNA is filed under the name uncultured bacterium. RNAcentral describes it as "partial 16S ribosomal RNA". It matches the Rfam family "Bacterial small subunit ribosomal RNA", at positions 523 to 796 of the family's 1533-position model. The record is from RNAcentral.